This 3017-nucleotide ribosomal RNA is filed under the name Glaesserella parasuis. Its description in RNAcentral is "23S ribosomal RNA". It matches the Rfam family "Bacterial large subunit ribosomal RNA". The record is from RNAcentral. Lineage: Bacteria; Pseudomonadati; Pseudomonadota; Gammaproteobacteria; Pasteurellales; Pasteurellaceae.
GGUUAAGUGACUAAGCGUACACGGUGGAUGCCUAGGCAAUCAGAGGCGAAGAAGGACGUGCUAAUCUGCGAAAAGCUUGGAUGAGUUGAUAAGAAGCGUUUAAUCCAAGAUAUCCGAAUGGGGAAACCCAGUAGAUGAAGAAUCUACUAUCAAUAGAUGAAUACAUAGUCUGUUGAGGCAAACCGGGAGAACUGAAACAUCUAAGUACCCCGAGGAAAAGAAAUCAACCGAGAUUUUGUCAGUAGCGGCGAGCGAAAGCGAAAGAGCCAGCAAGUGAUAGCAGCAAAGACAGAAGAAUUGGCUGGAAAGCCAAGCGACACAGGGUGAUAGCCCCGUAUUUUAAGUUUAUGUUGUGGUACUAAACUUGCAACAAGUAGGGCGGGACACGAGAAAUCCUGUUUGAAGAUGGGGGGACCAUCCUCCAAGGCUAAAUACUCCUGAUUGACCGAUAGUGAACCAGUACUGUGAAGGAAAGGCGAAAAGAACCCCAGUGAGGGGAGUGAAAUAGAACCUGAAACCGUGUACGUACAAGCAGUGGGAGCCCUUUUGGGUGACUGCGUACCUUUUGUAUAAUGGGUCAGCGACUUAUAUUUUGUAGCGAGGUUAACUGAAUAAGGGAGCCGAAGGGAAACCGAGUCUUAACUGGGCGGUGAGUUGCAAGGUAUAGACCCGAAACCCGGUGAUCUAGCCAUGGGCAGGUUGAAGGUUGGGUAACACUAACUGGAGGACCGAACCGACUAAUGUUGAAAAAUUAGCGGAUGACUUGUGGCUGGGGGUGAAAGGCCAAUCAAACCGGGAGAUAGCUGGUUCUCCCCGAAAUCUAUUUAGGUAGAGCCUUAUGUGAAUACCUUCGGGGGUAGAGCACUGUUUCGGCUAGGGGUCCAUCCCGGAUUACCAACCCGAUGCAAACUGCGAAUACCGAAGAGUAAUGCAUAGGAGACACACAGUGGGUGCUAACGUCCAUCGUGGAGAGGGAAACAACCCAGACCGCCAGCUAAGGUCCCAAAGUCUAUAUUAAGUGGGAAACGAAGUGGGAAGGCUUAGACAGCUAGGAUGUUGGCUUAGAAGCAGCCACCAUUUAAAGAAAGCGUAAUAGCUCACUAGUCGAGUCGGCCUGCGCGGAAGAUGUAACGGGGCUAAAAUAUAGCACCGAAGCUGCGGCAUCAGGCGUAUCACAAAUACGCCUUCGAUUAACAACAUCGAAUGAAGUGAAACGGAAUAAGAUGUUGGUCAAGCACCCAACACGUUGAGUUGGCAUAAAGUGCGGAUAGAAAUCAGAGGAAUAUUUGUGAUACGCCUGUUGGGUAGGGGAGCGUUGUGUAAGCGGAUGAAGGUGAAUCGAGAGGUUUGCUGGACGUAUCACAAGUGCGAAUGCUGACAUAAGUAACGAUAAAACGAGUGAAAAACUCGUUCGCCGGAAGACCAAGGGUUCCUGUCCAACGUUAAUCGGGGCAGGGUGAGUCGGCCCCUAAGGCGAGGCUGAAAAGCGUAGUCGAUGGGAAACGGGUUAAUAUUCCCGUACUUGGUAAAGCUGCGAUGUGGGGACGGAGAAGGUUAGGUUAGCAGACUGUUGGAUGUCUGUUUAAGUUGGUAGGUGGGAAGUUUAGGCAAAUCCGGACUUCCAUAACACUGAGAGAUGAUGACGAGUUUCUACGGAAAUGAAGUAACUGAUACCACGCUUCCAGGAAAAGCUACUAAGCGAAAGGCUUUACUAAACCGUACUGAAAACCGACACAGGUGGUCAGGUAGAGAAUACUCAGGCGCUUGAGAGAACUCGGGUGAAGGAACUAGGCAAAAUAGCACCGUAACUUCGGGAGAAGGUGCGCUGGCGUAGGUUGUAAGAGUAUACCUCCGAAGGCUGAACCAGUCGAAGAUACCAGCUGGCUGCAACUGUUUAUUAAAAACACAGCACUCUGCAAACACGAAAGUGGACGUAUAGGGUGUGAUGCCUGCCCGGUGCUGGAAGGUUAAUUGAUGGUGUUAUCGAAAGAGAAGCUCCUGAUCGAAGCCCCAGUAAACGGCGGCCGUAACUAUAACGGUCCUAAGGUAGCGAAAUUCCUUGUCGGGUAAGUUCCGACCUGCACGAAUGGCAUAAUGAUGGCCAGGCUGUCUCCACCCGAGACUCAGUGAAAUUGAAAUCGCCGUGAAGAUGCGGUGUACCCGCGGCUAGACGGAAAGACCCCGUGAACCUUUACUAUAGCUUGACACUGAACAUUGAAUUUUGAUGUGUAGGAUAGGUGGGAGACUAAGAAGCAGGCACGCCAGUGCUUGUGGAGUCGUCCUUGAAAUACCACCCUUUAACGUUUGAUGUUCUAACGAAGAUUACGAAACGUGGUCUCGGACAGUGUCUGGUGGGUAGUUUGACUGGGGCGGUCUCCUCCCAAAGCGUAACGGAGGAGCACGAAGGUUUGCUAAUCACGGUCGGACAUCGUGAGGUUAGUGCAAUGGUAUAAGCAAGCUUAACUGCGAGACAGACAAGUCGAGCAGGUGCGAAAGCAGGUCAUAGUGAUCCGGUGGUUCUGAAUGGAAGGGCCAUCGCUCAACGGAUAAAAGGUACUCCGGGGAUAACAGGCUGAUACCGCCCAAGAGUUCAUAUCGACGGCGGUGUUUGGCACCUCGAUGUCGGCUCAUCACAUCCUGGGGCUGAAGUAGGUCCCAAGGGUAUGGCUGUUCGCCAUUUAAAGUGGUACGCGAGCUGGGUUUAGAACGUCGUGAGACAGUUCGGUCCCUAUCUGCCGUGGGCGUUGGAGAAUUGAGAGGGGCUGCUCCUAGUACGAGAGGACCGGAGUGGACGCAUCACUGGUGUACCAGUUGUCUCGCCAGAGGCAUUGCUGGGUAGCUAAAUGCGGAAGAGAUAAGUGCUGAAAGCAUCUAAGCACGAAACUCGCCUUAAGAUGAGUUCUCCCUAGCUAUAAGCUAGUAAGGGUUGUUGAAGACUACGACGUAGAUAGGUCUGGUGUGUAAGCGGUGUGAGCCGUUGAGCUAACAGAUACUAAUUGCCCGAGAGGCUUAACUAU